AUUGAACGCUGGCGGCAGGCCUAACACAUGCAAGUCGAACGAGUGGCGGACGGGUGAGUAAUGUCUGGGAAACUGCCUGAUGGAGGGGGAUAACUACUGGAAACGGUAGCUAAUACCGCAUACCAUCGGAUGUGCCCAGAUGGGAUUAGCUAGUAGGUGGGGUAACGGCUCACCUAGGCGACGAGCCCUAGCUGGUCUGAGAGGAUGACCGCCCACACUGGAAUUAAGACGCGGUCCUGACUCCUCCGGGAGGCAGCAGUGGGGAAUAUUGCACAAUGGGGGCAAGCCUGAUGCAGCCAUGCCGCGUGUAUGAAGAAUGCCUUCGGGUUGUAAAGUACUUUCAGCGGGGAGGCGUUACCCGCAGAAGAAGCACCGGCUAACUCCGUGCCAGCAGCCGCGGUAAUUC
RNAcentral lists this ribosomal RNA (406 nucleotides) under uncultured bacterium. Its description in RNAcentral is "partial 16S ribosomal RNA". It matches the Rfam family "Bacterial small subunit ribosomal RNA", at positions 30 to 526 of the family's 1533-position model. The record is from RNAcentral.